RNAcentral lists this ribosomal RNA (403 nucleotides) under uncultured bacterium. Its description in RNAcentral is "bacterial SSU rRNA". It matches the Rfam family "Bacterial small subunit ribosomal RNA", at positions 359 to 773 of the family's 1533-position model. The record is from RNAcentral.
GAAUAUUGGACAAUGGGCGAAAGCCUGAUCCAGCAACGCCGCGUGAGGGAUGACGGCCUUCGGGUUGUAAACCUCUUUCGGUAGGGACGAAGCGCGAGUGACGGUACCUACUAAAGAAGCACCGGCCAACUACGUGCCAGCAGCCGCGGUAAUACGUAGGGUGCGAGCGUUGUCCGGAAUUAUUGGGCGUAAAGAGCUCGUAGGCGGCUCAGUAAGUCGGAUGUGAAAACUCGGGGCUCAACCCCGAGACGCCAUCCGAUACUGCUGUGGCUUGAGUCUGGUAGGGGAACACGGAAUUCCUGGUGUAGCGGUGAAAUGCGCAGAUAUCAGGAGGAACACCGAUGGCGAAGGCAGUGUUCUGGGCCAGUACUGACGCUGAGGAGCGAAAGCGUGGGUAGCAAAC